GACGAACGCUGGCGGCGUGCUUAACACAUGCAAGUCGAACGGAAAGGCCUCUUUCGGGGGGUACUCGAGUGGCGAACGGGUGAGUAACACGUGGGUAACCUGCCCUUGACUUUGGGAUAACUUCAGGAAACUGGGGCUAAUACCGGAUAGGAGCUCCUGCUGCAUGGUGGGGGUUGGAAAGUUUCGGCGGUUGGGGAUGGACUCGCGGCUUAUCAGCUUGUUGGUGGGGUAGUGGCUUACCAAGGCUUUGACGGGUAGCCGGCCUGAGAGGGUGACCGGCCACAUUGGGACUGAGAUACGGCCCAGACGCCUACGGGAGGCAGCAGUGGGGAAUAUUGCACAAUGGGUGGAAGCCUGAUGCAGCAACGCCGUGUGCGGGAUGACGGCCUUCGGGUUGUAAACCGCUUUCGCUCAUGACGAAGCUUUGUGUGACGGUAGUGGGUAAAGAAGCACCGGCUAACUACGUG
Molecule: ribosomal RNA, 467 nt
Filed under: uncultured bacterium
Lineage: Bacteria
Description: partial 16S ribosomal RNA
Rfam family: Bacterial small subunit ribosomal RNA
Source: RNAcentral